Molecule: long non-coding RNA, 419 nt
Organism: Photinus pyralis (common eastern firefly)
Lineage: Eukaryota; Metazoa; Arthropoda; Insecta; Coleoptera; Lampyridae
Exons: 3
Source: RefSeq, a predicted model, not a curated record
UAAAUCUCCGUGAUGUACUUCAAAAUUUUGUUAGCGACCGUUACACUAUUCUUAUGGAGUUUUUCUUCAUCAGAGGCUCUAAACUGUAUAAAUUGCCAUGGCAGUUCAGCUGCUUGUCGAAAGGGAAGUGUUACUUACACACAACCAUGUACGGCGAAUGGUUCGUAUUCUGAAGCGUUCUGUUUCUCGGCGGAAACGGUAAACGGUUACGUUUUAAGAGGGUGCGCUUCUAAGCAAGGGACAGGUACGUUGUGCGAGAUUUUAGAAAGGUUCAAUAGGGCAUACACUAAUUGCAAGUCAUGUUCACGUGAUAUGUGUAAUUCAUUUAAUUACGGAAGCUAGACAUUUUCUCCUUAGCCUGAUGUAGUGACUGUAUUUUGAACUAAGAUCACCUAAAUAAAACUAAUGACGUGGUCUUG